This 250-nucleotide ribosomal RNA is filed under the name uncultured bacterium. RNAcentral describes it as "partial 16S ribosomal RNA". It matches the Rfam family "Bacterial small subunit ribosomal RNA", at positions 524 to 773 of the family's 1533-position model. The record is from RNAcentral.
UACGAAGGGGGCUAGCAUUGUUCGGAAUUACUGGGCGUAAAGCGCGCGUAGGCGGUGAUACAAGUCAGGGGUGAAAUCCCAGAGCUCAACUCUGGAAUUGCCUUUGAAACUGUAUCGCUGGAGUCUCGAAGGGGGUAGUGGAAUUCCUAGUGUAGGGGUGAAAUCCGUAGAUAUUAGGAGGAACACCGGUGGCGAAGGCGGCUACCUGGUCGAGUACUGACGCUGAGGCGCGAAAGCGUGGGGAUCAAAC